UAACUUUUGACAACGGAUCUCUUGGUUCUCCCAUCGAUGAAGAACGCAGCGAAACGCGAUAGGUAAUGUGAAUUGCAGAAUUCAGUGAAUCAUCGAAUCUUUGAACGCAUCUUGCGCUCCUUGGUAUUCCUCGGAGCAUGCCUGUUUGAGUGUCGUGAA
RNAcentral lists this ribosomal RNA (159 nucleotides) under fungal sp. JH52. Its description in RNAcentral is "5.8S ribosomal RNA". It matches the Rfam family "5.8S ribosomal RNA". Rfam says of the family: 5.8S ribosomal RNA (5.8S rRNA) is a component of the large subunit of the eukaryotic ribosome. It is transcribed by RNA polymerase I as part of the 45S precursor that also contains 18S and 28S rRNA. Functionally, it is thought that 5.8S rRNA may be involved in ribosome translocation. The record is from RNAcentral. Lineage: Eukaryota; Fungi.